ACAAUGUAAUUUUGAGGUUAGUAUUUACUCUAAUAUACUACAGUAAAACUUAUGAAUGUUGAUAGGACUUUGGUUUACUGGUUAGGUUGUUUUACUGACUGCAUGGUUCACUAUACGUCACAAACAUUGAUCAAACCUGGCUCCAAAAGGGCUGCAUGAUUGCGAUGGGGGACCUGGGUGGAUCGGUUUAACAGUAAAUGUCAAUGUAGAUGUUGUGGACGUUAUUGGAGUAAAUGAGUGGAGAUUUCUACCUCUUAUAAUAGUGGAUAAAGACCAUACCGGGGGAUAAAAAAAAAGCCUGAAAGUGGAAGAAUACCCAGAUUAGGGAAUCGCCAAUAGAAUUAUCAUAAACCAAGAUGCCAAAUGAAAAUAUUAGGACUUACCAAUGGAAUUGGCCUUUUCUCAGGAACACAAAACUGGACACUUAAACAAAGAACCUUGAAAAAGUUGGGAUUUAACUUCACCACUUAUAAUCCUGCACUAUUGCAGUAUGGCAUUUAGUAUCCACAAACUAAAAUACCCAAAAGAUUACCCUACUCUUCAUUCUUCAAGCGCAUUCGUCAACUAAUUGUGGCGUGAUUUAUGACAACGUUGCCGCGCGCCGAGGUUGGUGUUGUACCACACAGGGAUUUGUCUCGGCGCAAUGUCUAAUUACCUUCUCUAUUCUCCUAACCGAUACAACUCGCGUCUAUGGUUGUGCUGUACGGGACAAUGGAUUUACGCUUCCAGGCAGCUCAAAAACAUAUCGUCUAACAUUCAAGGAAUAUCGAUGACUGCCUGGAAUAAGUAAAAUAAGGCUCUUUCUUAUCCCUAGCAGUUGUAAUAUUUCUGUUGCAUUUUAUUGGCUUAUGAGUAUUCCUUUUU
Long non-coding RNA from Anthonomus grandis grandis, 864 nucleotides. RefSeq lists it as uncharacterized. The record is from RefSeq and is a predicted model, not a curated record. NCBI's taxonomy places the organism in Eukaryota, Metazoa, Arthropoda, Insecta, Coleoptera, Curculionidae. The transcript is spliced from 3 exons.